RNAcentral lists this transfer RNA (27 nucleotides) under Cephalophus dorsalis (bay duiker). Its description in RNAcentral is "partial tRNA-Pro". Lineage: Eukaryota; Metazoa; Chordata; Mammalia; Artiodactyla; Bovidae. The record is from RNAcentral.
GCUGAGUUCUAUUUAAACUAUUCCCUG